CCUACGGGAGGCAGCAGUGGGGAAUUUUCCGCAAUGGGCGAAAGCCUGACGGAGCAAUACCGCGUGAGGGAGGAAGGCUUUUGGGUCGUAAACCUCUUUUCUCAGGGAAGAACACAAUGACGGUACCUGAGGAAUCAGCAUCGGCUAACUCCGUGCCAGCAGCCGCGGUAAUACGGAGGAUGCAAGCGUUAUCCGGAAUCAUUGGGCGUAAAGCGUCCGCAGGUGGCUUUUCAAGUCUGCUGUCAAAGCCCGGGGCUCAACCCUGGAGAGGCAGUGGAAACUGAGGAGCUAGAGUGUGGUAGGGGCAGAGGGAAUUCCCGGUGUAGCGGUGAAAUGCGUAGAUAUCGGGAAGAACACCAGUGGCGAAAGCGCUCUGCUGGACCACAACUGACACUCAUGGACGAAAGCUAGGGGAGCGAAUGGGAUUAGAUACCCCAGUAGUCCUAGCCGUAAACGAUGGACACUAGGUGUUGCGCGUAUCGACCCGUGCAGUGCCGUAGCCAACGCGUUAAGUGUCCCGCCUGGGGAGUACGCUCGCAAGAGUGAAACUC
RNAcentral lists this ribosomal RNA (551 nucleotides) under uncultured bacterium. RNAcentral's name for it is "bacterial SSU rRNA". It matches the Rfam family "Bacterial small subunit ribosomal RNA", at positions 338 to 902 of the family's 1533-position model. The record is from RNAcentral.